This 450-nucleotide ribosomal RNA is filed under the name uncultured bacterium. RNAcentral describes it as "partial 16S ribosomal RNA". It matches the Rfam family "Bacterial small subunit ribosomal RNA", at positions 338 to 795 of the family's 1533-position model. The record is from RNAcentral.
CCUACGGGGGGCUGCAGUGGGGAAUUUUGGACAAUGGGCGAAAGCCUGAUCCAGCAAUGCCGCGUGAGUGAAGAAGGCCUUCGGGUUGUAAAGCUCUUUUGUUUGAGAAGAAAUCCCUAAGGAUAAUACCCUUGGGGGAUGACGGUACCAAAAGAAUAAGCACCGGCUAACUACGUGCCAGCAGCCGCGGUAAUACGUAGGGUGCAAACGUUGAUCGGAAUUACUGGGCGUGAUGUGGGAGCAGGCGGGUGAAAGCCCCGAGCGCAACUUGGGAACUGCACUUGGGACUGCAAGACUAGAGUGUGUCAGAGGGAGGUAGAAUUCCACGUGUAGCAGUGAAAUGCGUAGAUAUGUGGAGGAAUACCAGUGGCGAAGGCGGCCUCCUGGGAUAACACUGACGCUCAUGUACGAAAGCGUGGGGAGCAAACAGGAUUAGAUACCCCGGUAGUC